This 659-nucleotide ribosomal RNA is filed under the name Priestia aryabhattai. Its description in RNAcentral is "bacterial SSU rRNA". It matches the Rfam family "Bacterial small subunit ribosomal RNA", at positions 57 to 698 of the family's 1533-position model. The record is from RNAcentral. Lineage: Bacteria; Bacillati; Bacillota; Bacilli; Caryophanales; Bacillaceae.
GCAGUCGAGCGAACUGAUUAGAAGCUUGCUUCUAUGACGUUAGCGGCGGACGGGUGAGUAACACGUGGGCAACCUGCCUGUAAGACUGGGAUAACUUCGGGAAACCGAAGCUAAUACCGGAUAGGAUCUUCUCCUUCAUGGGAGAUGAUUGAAAGAUGGUUUCGGCUAUCACUUACAGAUGGGCCCGCGGUGCAUUAGCUAGUUGGUGAGGUAACGGCUCACCAAGGCAACGAUGCAUAGCCGACCUGAGAGGGUGAUCGGCCACACUGGGACUGAGACACGGCCCAGACUCCUACGGGAGGCAGCAGUAGGGAAUCUUCCGCAAUGGACGAAAGUCUGACGGAGCAACGCCGCGUGAGUGAUGAAGGCUUUCGGGUCGUAAAACUCUGUUGUUAGGGAAGAACAAGUACGAGAGUAACUGCUCGUACCUUGACGGUACCUAACCAGAAAGCCACGGCUAACUACGUGCCAGCAGCCGCGGUAAUACGUAGGUGGCAAGCGUUAUCCGGAAUUAUUGGGCGUAAAGCGCGCGCAGGCGGUUUCUUAAGUCUGAUGUGAAAGCCCACGGCUCAACCGUGGAGGGUCAUUGGAAACUGGGGAACUUGAGUGCAGAAGAGAAAAGCGGAAUUCCACGUGUAGCGGUGAAAUGCGUAGAGAUG